This is a long non-coding RNA of Hippocampus zosterae (dwarf seahorse), 489 nucleotides long. RefSeq lists it as uncharacterized. The transcript is spliced from 3 exons. NCBI's taxonomy places the organism in Eukaryota, Metazoa, Chordata, Actinopteri, Syngnathiformes, Syngnathidae. The record is from RefSeq and is a predicted model, not a curated record.
CUGGAAGCAAAUCCACUUGCUCACCAUCAAAAACAGAGCAAUAAUAUGUUUUCACCGGUAGAGGCCAGCAAAUCACCAUCUACAAAUGGUGGCGAUUCCUGUUGGACUGUGAGACAAAUACUGUGAAAAGUCUCCCAACAGGAAGGUAGACAGACCUAAAAGUGUCUUGAAUAGAUGUUAUUCCACGUUCUGCUAUUAUUACAGCGUGCCUGGAGGUAAAAGCUCUGGGUAAUUUUACCCUGGGAGAUUUUGUGCCAGAAAGAUUCCGACAACUCAUCAUAAAUGCUACUCGUGAGUUCUGUGCCGACUGCCAAUUUAACUUCACGUUGACCUUGGGACCAGUCCCUUGAUGGAAGUCUAACUCCUUUGCGUGCAAGAGGGGAGAAGUCCACUGUUCUUCCAGUUUGUCAAUCAUGGCAUUUUGAUUGUAUACACAGGGAUGACUUUAAUGCAUGCUUGUCAAGCUAUGACAAUAAAAGAGCUCAGCAA